Molecule: long non-coding RNA, 851 nt
Filed under: Sus scrofa (pig)
Lineage: Eukaryota; Metazoa; Chordata; Mammalia; Artiodactyla; Suidae
Description: lncRNA (ENSSSCG00055009047.1, ENSSSCG00070015107.1)
Source: RNAcentral
CAGAGAGAUGACGGUAUAGCCAUGAUUUGCCACUGAGAGGAUGGAGUCAGCCCAGGGAGAUAUUUCUAAACUGCGGAAAUCGGUCAGAUUAGAGAGGGGGGUUUGUAAGUAAUUUAUAGCUGAGUAAGUGGGAUUCGCCAUGAGCCUACCUUGUGGGAAUCCUCUCAAACAUUCCCACUACGAGCUCAGAAAAGCCUCAUGGCAAGUCACAGGGCAGGAAAUUGCGGGGGAGGAGGGGUUGGGGGGGCGAGAAGGCAGAAACAGGAAGCAGGGAACAGGAAGGACAGGUGAAGAAAGAUGAGGUUUCCAUAAACAGGAAACAACCGUAUGGCCUCUUUACCUCUCACAUCUUAUGUGGACACAAACGGAGAACCCCACUUCCAACCAGGAGGGAGACCUGCCUUCUCGCACCAGGCUUAAUCAAUCCUGGUAGACAGAUACUCAACCAGGCUCCGGUGAGCUCAUUUGUACUUGGCAGAUUUUUCAACAGUGAGCGCAUGUUCAUUAGCAAUAAUAUUGAGUGGGGUCACAAAUGGAUCUCACAGUCAUUGGAUACACAGACAAGAGGUAAGUGCCUUAUUUGAUCUGUAAUUAACCCAUUCUUCUUUACAAUAACCACUUCCUAGAGGGGAAACAUUACCUUUUCAUCAUUUCUGCUUUAAAACAUAGUUCAUUUCAGUACAUUAAAUUGCCCCUCUAAUAUAUUCACUCUCCGGUAGGUAGUCACUAGCCACUCAAGGCUAUUUAAUUUUAAAUUUUAAUUAGUUCACAUUUAAAAUCAGAUCCCUACACAGGUAUAGGAUUUAUUUUCACUUCCCUUUAGUCAGAAAUAUUUUAGCACUCUUCCUAGA